AACUGGGAUGCAAAGAAUCUGCACAUAGGCAAUGGACCUUGAACUCAGGUCUUCUGGGCUCAAAAUCUAGUUUGAUUUCUGCUACAUCAUGAAUGCUACCCUAGGUACAACCAUGUGCAAAAUUCAAAGGUCUUGAGCUUUCUGAGUCAAUGUCCAGGUCUUCUCUCCAGAAAGUCCUGUUGGGGAAAGCGUGAUGCAAUAGAAAGAAGACUGGGCUUAGAAUUAGAGUCUCUGCACUUUUGCCUCACCUUGGAAACACAUAUAAACUCUCUCCACCUUAGCUUCUUCGUGUGGAAACUGGGCAUAGUAAUAUCAGUUUUGUCAACUUUAUGGGAUCAGUGCCUUCCAGUUCUCAAAUUCGAAGACGAUACCAUUGACAUCCUUUCUACUGUGUCUCAAAGGAGGAGGGUCACCAGGAGGGUAAGGAGACUGGAAAUCAUAUUAUCUCUGAGGUCUCUUCAAACUCUGUGAUUUCAGUGGUCUUUCUCUGGCUUGUU
Non-coding RNA from Phascolarctos cinereus (koala), 497 nucleotides. The record is from RefSeq and is a predicted model, not a curated record. Lineage: Eukaryota; Metazoa; Chordata; Mammalia; Diprotodontia; Phascolarctidae.